Molecule: long non-coding RNA, 457 nt
Organism: Contarinia nasturtii (swede midge)
Lineage: Eukaryota; Metazoa; Arthropoda; Insecta; Diptera; Cecidomyiidae
Exons: 2
Source: RefSeq, a predicted model, not a curated record
AAGUCAUUUUGAGUUGAGCAUUCGAUUGAAUUGGACGUACCGAGCAUUCACUGAAUAGAGUUCACCGCUAAAAACGCUAAAAACACUAAAAUCAACAAAGUCAUCGUUUUUUCUCACGUUUCACGAAGAAAGCAAAAAAUUGAAGAAAAUGGCAUCAUCGAAAAAGUCAAAGGGACCAGAGGUGAGCAAAGUGCGUGAAAUAAUGAAGCGCCUGAAGGCCACAAAGAGUGACAACGAAACCGCGAAGAAAGUUGCCAAAGAACUCGGCUAUAAGAUCUUCAGCAAGAAAACGUUGGCUGGUUUGCGUGGCAAAAUGCAAGCUUCACUCAGAGCAUGGGACGACGAAUAGCAUCGCGACAGCAUGGACCACUCGAUAUCAAUGACGACCGCCUUUUGUAUACGGACACAGCCAAUCUGAACGCAUCAAAAAACAACAAAACAAACGAUUUACACAGCA